CCGCGGGACUCCAGUAAGUUCCCCCUUACGAUAGGGGCAGGAGAUCCGCGGAGAAGCUCCUCCCGCCCGACGCAUUUGACUCUCGCCCGUAAGGACGCCGCAGCCGGUCGGGCAGCGCAAGCGGGACGGCCUGAAGGUCGCAAUAGGGCAGGUGACCGGUGGUUGCGGUUCUCGUCUCCGCCGGUUGUUAGCCGUUGCGUCAGUGGCUCGUCGCUCGACCGAGGAAUCUGAGGCCCCCGAUACUGGGGCUCUCCCGUCUCCUCCUCCGUACUCGGAAGGCGGGACAGACCGUCGCAAGCGAAGGCAGCCGUACCGCCGCACUCCCCACGAGUGGGCGGACGAUAAAGUCGGCGCCGGUUGCGACGGCGGACCCGUAGGAGGCUGGAGGCUGGCGGCGAGUAGGUCGGUAACCCACCCGACCCGUCUUGAAACACGGACCAAGGAGUCUAACAUGUGCGCGAGUCAAUGGGUCUCGAAGAAGCCCAGAGGCGAAAUGAAAGCAAAGGUCCCGGCAGACGUCGGGGCCGAGUUGGGAUCCCCCGCUUCACUGCGGGGGCGCACCAGCGACCCGUCCCGAGCGGCUCGCCGCUGGGGCGGAGUUUGAGCGCACACGUUGGUACCCGAAAGAUGGUGAACUAUGCCCGGACAGGACGAGGCCAGAG
Molecule: ribosomal RNA, 662 nt
Filed under: Tengella sp. DP-2014
Lineage: Eukaryota; Metazoa; Arthropoda; Arachnida; Araneae; Zoropsidae
Description: eukaryotic LSU rRNA
Rfam family: Eukaryotic large subunit ribosomal RNA (bases 437-662)
Source: RNAcentral